This 846-nucleotide ribosomal RNA is filed under the name uncultured bacterium. Its description in RNAcentral is "bacterial SSU rRNA". It matches the Rfam family "Bacterial small subunit ribosomal RNA", at positions 56 to 902 of the family's 1533-position model. The record is from RNAcentral.
UGCAAGUCGAACGGUAGAGGGGGCAACCCCUUGAGAGUGGCGAACGGGUGAGUAAUGUAUCGGAACGUGCCCAGUCGUGGGGGAUAACGUAGUGAAAAUUACGCUAAUACCGCAUACGAUCUAUGGAUGAAAGCGGGGGAUCGCAAGACCUCGCGCGAUUGGAGCGGCCGAUAUCAGAUUAGGUAGUUGGUGGGGUAAAGGCUCACCAAGCCAACGAUCUGUAGCUGGUCUGAGAGGACGACCAGCCACACUGGAACUGAGACACGGUCCAGACUCCUACGGGAGGCAGCAGUGGGGAAUUUUGGACAAUGGACGCAAGUCUGAUCCAGCCAUUCCGCGUGCAGGACGAAGGCCUUCGGGUUGUAAACUGCUUUUGUACGGAACGAAAAAGCUCUUAUUAAUACUAGGAGUCCAUGACGGUACCGUAAGAAUAAGCACCGGCUAACUACGUGCCAGCAGCCGCGGUAAUACGUAGGGUGCAAGCGUUAAUCGGAAUUACUGGGCGUAAAGCGUGCGCAGGCGGUUAUAUAAGACAGAUGUGAAAUCCCCGAGCUUAACUUGGGAACUGCAUUUGUGACUGUAUAGCUAGAGUACGGCAGAGGGGGAUGGAAUUCCGCGUGUAGCAGUGAAAUGCGUAGAUAUGCGGAGGAACACCGAUGGCGAAGGCAAUCCCCUGGGCCUGUACUGACGCUCAUGCACGAAAGCGUGGGGAGNCAACAGGAUUAGAUACCCUGGUAGUCCACGCCCUAAACGAUGUCAACUGGUUGUUGGGUCUUCACUGACUCAGUAACGAAGCUAACGCGUGAAGUUGACCGCCUGGGGAGUACGGCCGCCAGGUUGAAACUC